GCCAGACUCCUACGGGAGGCAGCAGUGAGGAAUAUUGGUCAAUGGGCGCAAGCCUGAACCAGCCAAGUCGCGUGAGGGAUGACGGUCCUAUGGAUUGUAAACCUCUUUUGUCGGGGAGCAAGGCCCGCCACGUGUGGCGGGAAGGAGAGUGCCCGAAGAAAAAGCAUCGGCUAACUCCGUGCCAGCAGCCGCGGUAAUACGGAGGAUGCGAGCGUUAUCCGGAUUUAUUGGGUUUAAAGGGUGCGUAGGCGGGCUUUUAAGUCAGCGGUAAAAAUUCGGGGCUCAACCCCGUCCGGCCGUUGAAACUGGGGGCCUUGAGUGGGCGAGAAGAAGGCGGAAUGCGUGGUGUAGCGGUGAAAUGCAUAGAUAUCGCGCAGAACCCCGAUUGCGAAGGCAGCGUACCGGCUCCACACUGACGCUGAGUCACGAAAGCGUGGGUAUCGAACAGGAUUAGAUACCCCAGUA
RNAcentral lists this ribosomal RNA (465 nucleotides) under uncultured bacterium. RNAcentral describes it as "bacterial SSU rRNA". It matches the Rfam family "Bacterial small subunit ribosomal RNA", at positions 330 to 792 of the family's 1533-position model. The record is from RNAcentral.